Molecule: ribosomal RNA, 253 nt
Filed under: uncultured bacterium
Lineage: Bacteria
Description: partial 16S ribosomal RNA
Rfam family: Bacterial small subunit ribosomal RNA
Source: RNAcentral
UACGAAGGUGGCUAGCGUUGUUCGAAAUUACUGGGCGUAAAGCGCACGUAGGCGGUUCCUUAAGUCAGGGGUGAAAUCCCGAGGCUCAACCUCGGAACUGCCUUUGAUACUGGGGAUAUCGAGUCCGGGAGAGGUGAGUGGAACUGCGAGUGUAGAGGUGAAAUUCGUAGAUAUUCGCAAGAACACCAGUGGCGAAGGCGGCUCACUGGCCCGGUACUGACGCUGAGGUGCGAAAGCGUGGGGAGCAAACAGG